Ooceraea biroi (clonal raider ant) is the source of this 289-nucleotide long non-coding RNA. RefSeq lists it as uncharacterized. NCBI's taxonomy places the organism in Eukaryota, Metazoa, Arthropoda, Insecta, Hymenoptera, Formicidae. The record is from RefSeq and is a predicted model, not a curated record.
ACACCAAGUGCGCGAAGCUCUUGUGAUGAAGAAUUUGCGCUACAAUUAGUUACUAUCAAAAUCAUUUGAUGAUGUGACAACAUCGUAAGGGAGGGUGUGCGUGAACGAAGGGGGGGACCGAAGAGAUCACUCGAGAUUACCUUCGCGUGGAACACGAUUCCGCGGUGAAACGCCUCCUCGCUAUGCAGCGGUAUUCGCGUGUCGUACUCGUCAUUAUGUACGAGGUUGUACUGCUUCUUAGAGGGCAUGCUGAGCCCAGCUGCAUUCGACUAUCCUCGUCCAGCCUGGC